Macadamia integrifolia is the source of this 317-nucleotide long non-coding RNA. RefSeq lists it as uncharacterized. The record is from RefSeq and is a predicted model, not a curated record. Lineage: Eukaryota; Viridiplantae; Streptophyta; Magnoliopsida; Proteales; Proteaceae. The transcript has 2 exons.
AGAUUCCUCAAAAUUUUUAUGAUAAUGAACGAAUCAUUUCAUAAAUGUUGAUGAAUCUGAACCACUCAAACCUUAAUUUCUAUUGUUAUUGUUAUGCUUCUUCAAGGUGGCCUGAAUUCUCUUGCUUAAGAAAAGUAAUCAUUGAUUUGUCUUAUAAAAGAAGAGUUAUGCAUUUCUUGAGAUUAGAUUCAUGUUCAACGAGGAGGCAAUGUAACAUCCAUUCAAGUUGGAAUUUGAUCAAUUCCCUGAGUCAACAUGUCGGCAAUUGUAAUUUACAUGGUAGAUGAAAAAAUAUAUAUGGAUCAAAUUGUUUCCCC